AGAGCAGGGGACCCCUCUUGUCCUUCACUGUGUCCCGGCACCUAGCAGAGGCUGAUUCAGAGCAGAUGACUGACCACCAACCAGCGAAUGGGCCAAUGGAAGAAUCAAUGAAUGAAUGUAUUCAAGAGAGUUUCAGUGACUCACAUCCAUCCCACCCCCAGACCCUGGAGGAGAGGCCUUUUUGAAGAUGAAGGAGCUGCUCAAGCCUCUGCACAGAUGCCUUCCGUCCUUCUGAGUCCUCUCUUCCCACCUGAGGGCAAGGUGGUGGGGUGUACCUCACUACCCAGAUCCAACUUGAUGUACUGCUGACAAAAUAAUUAUCCCUCAGCCUAGCAAAUGCUGAGAUCUCUGGGAAAACAGAGCUUCAAUUACUGGGAAAAGCAGUGGACUCCCAUUAGGCUUGUUGGGAGGAAGAGGGACACAGAAUUGGCAUGGGGUUUGAGCAGCAAGAGAGACUGGCAGAUUUUCAACACCGCUUCCCCACCAGGCCUCCUCCCCAGACAGAGUUUGGCUGGACUGGGGACCCUGAGGCCACAGGCCUCAGGAGCCAGCCACACCUGCACAGUGUUUACUGAGCUGGGUGUCAGACUCACCCCGGAUGAGGCCCUGGUCAGAGGUGAGGAGGAAAGCCGGACAGCUCAGAGAUGACUACCAGCAACCAUGGGAAGUACACACCCCAGUCAGCGUGCACCGUGGGGAUGAAUGCUGGGAACACCGAGCAGACAGGCUUGUUCCUGUGCUAGGGUGUAGGGAAGACUUCCUGGAGGAGGUGAUGUAUGUCCUGCUCCCAGGAGUGAAUAGGACAUGGCCUAGUCAGGUCAACCUACACGUUUUGAGCACCUGGAUAAACCAAUUUAAGAAAACCUUUCCACAUGUUUCUGAAAUUUCCUGUGGGUGGCCUCCUCCUUGUGAUUCUACCGAGGCAGGCAGGCUUCUGGCCUUGCCUAGGUUGGGAAUGGGUGAAAACUCUGAGGAAAGGAAAAGCCAUUGCUAACUGAUACUUGGCACAAGCUCAUCUGUGUCUUUUAUUUUUUAUAAUCUACUAUUUAUAUUAAUUAUAACAUCAGGGUCACUCCAUGAUGUGCACCCCCUAAUGCUGUUCCCCAUUCAAUGACCACAAUCAAAACAGCACUAAUUCCUCUUAAGUAUCUUGAAAAACAUUAAAAAAAAAGCACUUUCCCUUCACAUGAUGCCCUCUACCACUCCUUGCAAUAAGAUCCUUAACAUAGAACUGCCUUGGGUUGAAGAGGUUUUUUCUUUUAAAUUCAGGAUUAUAAAUUGUGACUUAAAAUUAUUGCGAUAAGAGGCCCCAUAACCAUUGUUAAAAUGAUGGUGUUUGAAGAGAUGUCCACACUAUGUGUAUUUCACAGCUGGAAUAGAUCUCUUUGGGGAGCAUGCCUCCUCCCUGGUGUUUGGCAAAGUACAAUUGAAUUAGUGAAAGUGUAAUAAAGUGUGGGGAAAUGUCGAGAUGUAAGAAUCGAAAAUAAAAUAAAGAUAAUUUAAUCAUUAAA
This is a long non-coding RNA of Cebus imitator (Panamanian white-faced capuchin), 1511 nucleotides long. RefSeq lists it as uncharacterized. The transcript has 2 exons. The record is from RefSeq and is a predicted model, not a curated record. Lineage: Eukaryota; Metazoa; Chordata; Mammalia; Primates; Cebidae.